This 229-nucleotide long non-coding RNA is filed under the name Elaeis guineensis (African oil palm). RNAcentral's name for it is "long non-coding RNA (EGUI_LNC038872)". Lineage: Eukaryota; Viridiplantae; Streptophyta; Magnoliopsida; Arecales; Arecaceae. The record is from RNAcentral.
UGUGGAUACGAUCCCGAUUCAUCUUAGCUACAUGGUAAGUUAGAAUUGGAUUUAUUUUUUGGUGCCUUGAUGACGUGCAUCAAAUUUUGACUCUGUUGUUGGGGAUCCUUGGCACAGUUGUUUCGAAAAAAAAAAUAGAUUACUUUCAUUUUUUCUAUCAAUCUUGAUUGCCCUGACAUAAGGUUGCCCUGGCGUAACUGAAAGUUAUGUUGAAUGGUUGUGCUAGGGC